AUUGGCACGGCUGGUUACAGUGGUCAGUUGCAUUGGGAAGACGCAACCACUCUAUUAGCAUGAGAUACUGCAGAGUAAAGAUGGGGUUGGGCCCAAUAACUGUUAGGUGAGGGAUCCAAUGACGGCUUUGCUUAUGCGUUUGAACGGUGGGUCUGACUUAACUAAAAAAUGGGGCAAAUAAUAGUCAAGUGAGGCCUACAGGACUUAGAGACCGAUCACUGCAAUUUGCUUAAGAAGCAUUGGACAAGAGUUGUCCACUCAUCGGUUUGCAUAUCACCAAUAACUGUUAGGUAAGGUGGUACGUUAAACUGGUGGAACCGCAGUACCCACUUGAAAUUUUUUGUCGCAGUAGGUUUCCGUUUCUCUACCCGAGGAGUGUAAGAGACUCGAGAAAAUAGUGGGGGGCUAAAUUGUUUUUAAAAUUCCUAAAACAAAAUUUUAAAACAAAUAAAAAUAUCUAAUUUUAAAUCUUUACUCUCUACAGAACAAAAUGUCCGCUUCCAAUCCUCUCUCUCGUAUUCUUGAAACAAAUUGCUUAAUUGGAACUAACUAU
Molecule: long non-coding RNA, 553 nt
Filed under: Ananas comosus (pineapple)
Lineage: Eukaryota; Viridiplantae; Streptophyta; Magnoliopsida; Poales; Bromeliaceae
Description: long non-coding RNA (ACOM_LNC030584)
Source: RNAcentral